Non-coding RNA from Aedes albopictus (Asian tiger mosquito), 46 nucleotides. The record is from Rfam. Lineage: Eukaryota; Metazoa; Arthropoda; Insecta; Diptera; Culicidae.
CCAACGGUCCUUUUCAGGACCACAGAAAGUCUAUCCAAAAGAGUUA